RNAcentral lists this unclassified non-coding RNA (240 nucleotides) under soil metagenome. RNAcentral describes it as "partial contains 5.8S ribosomal RNA, internal transcribed spacer 2, and large subunit ribosomal RNA". The record is from RNAcentral.
AACGCACGAGACCUGCGGACCUGCGGAAGGAUCAUUACAGAGUUUUCUAAACUCCCAAACCCAUGUGAACUUACCAUUGUUGCCUCGGCGGAGCCUACCCUGUAGCUACCCUAUAAGGUGGUUACCCUGUAGCGCCCCGCCGGUGGAUUUUCAAACUCUUGUUAUUUAUAGUAAUCUGAGAGUCUUAUUUUAAAUAAGUCAAAACUUUCAGCAACGGAUCUCUAGAUCGGAAGAGCACAC